AAGAAAGAAGAUAACAGUCUGAUCUUAAGUUAUCAAUUACCAAUCAAAGUAGUCCCUUUCUUCUUCUUUCCCUCCUUUCUCUCUUCCUCCCUUCCUCCCUCUUCCUCCCUUCACCUCCCUUUUGCCUCCCCCCCUUUCCUGGUGAUUGUCCUUCUUGUUUCUCUAAAUCAACUCAGGGGACAACCCUGGAAAAUAUUGACAAGGCAAAGCAUUCCAACUCAUUCUGAGCUCUGCAUAGAGAAGAGAGGGUUUUCACUUGGAGCCAAGAGUCCUCUGAUUCCUGGAACAAUGUUUUUCAUAGAUGUUGUCAGACCAAAUAUUCAUAAUCUCUAAACUACAUGGAAUUAAAAGCAUUCAAAAUAUAGAGUCCUAACAAUGGAGUUCUAAAUCAUGAAGGAAAACGAGGUACGUAACAUCUCUGUUGUCCUAUCUGCUACCCAAAUCAUUGCUUUCAAUGAGCCUAGAAAGGAGGAAUUUACCUCCUAAUACCUUUAUUCACUAAAGAAAGCAGUUACUAUAUUCACGUAUUAAUGAUCUAAAGAGCAUUUAAUGUAAAAGAAUUUUUUAAAAUUAAAUUUAAAUUUAA
This 586-nucleotide long non-coding RNA is filed under the name Monodelphis domestica (gray short-tailed opossum). RNAcentral's name for it is "lncRNA (ENSMODG00000035366.2)". Lineage: Eukaryota; Metazoa; Chordata; Mammalia; Didelphimorphia; Didelphidae. The record is from RNAcentral.